This 2135-nucleotide long non-coding RNA is filed under the name Mytilus galloprovincialis (Mediterranean mussel). Lineage: Eukaryota; Metazoa; Mollusca; Bivalvia; Mytilida; Mytilidae. The record is from RNAcentral.
AAUUUAAAUUUUUUCGCAAGGAAAUUUCAAAUUUCUUUUUACCAAAUCUAAUAAUAGCAUUGUAUUAGAUCAGAAUUGAUGGUAGUCAGUAUUCUUUAACUUUAAUUCAUAUUCUGUCAUUCUACAGAAUUAUUUUUAUGCACGUUUCUAAUAAUUUUAUAUUUUAGAAUGACAAGAUCAGUUGGACAAGUUUCCCCGAUGUUGUUCCAAUAUAACAGAACUUUAUUUGUGAAAAAAUUAAGUUUUUCAUAUUUUACACAGAAACUCUGCUAUUACCUGUUAUACUUUCUUUUUGUGUACAAGUCAUUUUACAAUUUAUUGGGUAUGUAGGUUAUUAUGUAGGUAGUCAUCUAUUUAUUUGAGCUGUUGUUAGAUUGUCAUGAUGGGCAAAUCUGUUGCUGUUUGUUGAAGCAGCUUUCCAUCAUAGCAUUGCAAAAUGUAAAUGUGGUUUACUUUAGAGAUGUGCUCUUUCACAUUCCUUCACUGACCAUAGCUUUUACCUCAACUGACCCUAAAGGACAAAUAAGUGUUGCAAUCACGUCAUUCCAUUUCCUAUUCAAUACAGCAUUUUUUACACUCCACCCUUAAGCUGAUUGUUGCAAAAUCAUCUGGAGUUGUCCUUGUCCAUCUGUAUUUAUAUCUGCUUUGAUUGAUUACCGGUAAAUUCUUUGUUAAAGUUCAUUUGACAAAUACCUGUAAAUGCCUUUGUUUGUGAUAUGACAGUUUUCAACAAAUUGUGAGUCAUGUCAAUAUUUGUUUCAUGCAUAAGUACCAUUAAGAUGUGUUGUGUUUGUUCAUUACAGAAACAAAUAAUGAUGUAUUGGGGAUAUUUCAGUACAUUUAUUAUUCUUCUUUUAUAGGCUUUUUUUAAAUACAGUAUUUCUAUUACAAUGUAAUCAUGAUAAAUCAGCCACAUGUGUGAUUGGUUUACUUUUAAGUUUAGGUUCAAAUGUCAAAAAUAUUUAAAGUUAGGCCAAUGAUUUUUUACAUCUGUAACACACUUCAGCGACAUUUAAACCCACCAUAUGGACACUUUAUGAUUUUUUUGGUCCUAUGCUCUUCAUCUCCGUACUUUGUUUGGCCUUUUUGGCUUUUUUUUUAUUCAAGCGUUACUGGUGAGUCUUUAGUUGAUGAAGUGUGCAUCUGGCGCAAGUGCAGAAUUUCAGUAAUUGUGUAUAUAUAUAUAAUGAGUUUAUUUUAUACAUUAAUUAUACUUGAGUUGUUCAAAUAUAUUAAGCAUCUAAAUGUGAAACAUGUUAGGAAAUUGAAAUGUAAUUAUGUAAAUUUUCCUAGUAGCUCCAAAUAUCCUUUGAAAAAGUUGGCAUUGACUAUAUGUUUAUGAUAGCCUUAGUUCAUCUGACAACUACAAAUUUUGAACUUUUCAAAUUGGUCCAAUAUCUCAGAUGAUCUCAGAUGGUUGUAAUCUAAGACAUGGUUGUAAUUACCUGAAUCAAAUAAUUUUCUGCCAUAUUACUGUGUUAGGGUAGAUGGUCCCCAUGACCUCCAUUUAACAACUAUAUUUGAUAAAGUUAAAACAUUAAGAGUAGAACUUAUCUGUGAAUAUUAUUACAGGAUGCCUUAUAAGGUGUCAGUUGAGACAUGGCUGUGAGGAGAAAUCUUAAUCAUGCAAGUUAGCAAUGCACCUCUUGUUUAUGAUCAAUAGGUUACAAAAACAUUCCAUAGAAUGUAAUUUCAAUAUUUGUAUGUGUGAUUUGUGUGUCAUACCCUGAUGGUUUGUUUACAUAAAAACAACAUUAAAAUUAUAUAAAAUAUAUAUUCUAGUGUUAUGUCAUUUGUGGAUAUUAUUCUAAUGGGCGUUAGUUCCUUAAACUGAAUAAUUUAUGUCAGUUAGAAUUACAGAACAGCAAAAACUUCAAUCUGAUGAAGUUUGCUUUAUAGUGCAAACUUUAACUGAAAAUGCAUAUAAACUAUUUUUUAAUCUUUAAGGCAUUAAAGUUUCAGAGUUUAUUUAAUAUAUUGCAUUUUUGUUUCUCUUAGUUAAUAUUUUAAAGUACAAGCAUCUGUCAACUGCAUAAUUUGAAAAAAAUACAGCCCUAGGAUUUGUCCUCAAUGGGCCUUAAUGGUGUUCUGUUUGUUCUUUUGGUGCUCAGACUUACCUCUCAUUAAAUUAUAAA